Molecule: ribosomal RNA, 468 nt
Filed under: uncultured bacterium
Lineage: Bacteria
Description: partial 16S ribosomal RNA
Rfam family: Bacterial small subunit ribosomal RNA
Source: RNAcentral
GACGAACGCUGGCGGCGUGCCUAACACAUGCAAGUCGAACGGAAAGGCCCGGCUUUUUUGGGGUGGUCGAGUGGCGAACGGGUGAGUAACACGUGAGUAACGUGCACUUGACCUUGGGAGAACCUCAGGAAACUGGAGCUAAUCCCGGAUAGGAGCUCCCGCUGCAUGGUGGGGGCUGGAAAGUUUCGGCGGUUGGGGAUGGAAUAGCGGCUUAUCGGCUUGUUGGUGGGGUAGUGGCUGACCAUGGCCUUGACGCGUAGCCGGCCUGGGAGGGUAACCGGCCACACUACGCCUGGAAUGCGGCACGGCCUCCACCGGGACGCAACGGUGGAGAAUGUUACACUAUAGGCUGGGGCCUGGUGUGACAACGCCACGUCGGGGAUGACAGCCUUCGGGUUGUGUUCCACUUUCGCCUUUGACGAGGCGUUAGUGACGGUACUGGGUGAAGAAGCACCGGCUAACUACGUG